This 85-nucleotide transfer RNA is filed under the name Felis catus (domestic cat). It matches the Rfam family "tRNA". From Rfam's summary of the family: Transfer RNA (tRNA) molecules are approximately 80 nucleotides in length. Their secondary structure includes four short double-helical elements and three loops (D, anti-codon, and T loops). RNAcentral also lists the same sequence under 1 other name. The record is from Rfam by way of RNAcentral. Lineage: Eukaryota; Metazoa; Chordata; Mammalia; Carnivora; Felidae.
GCCUGGGUGGCUCAGUUGGUUAAGCGACUGACUUCAGCUCAGGUCAUGAUCUCACAGUCCGUGGGUUCGAGCCCCGCGUCGGGCU